Molecule: long non-coding RNA, 455 nt
Organism: Girardinichthys multiradiatus
Lineage: Eukaryota; Metazoa; Chordata; Actinopteri; Cyprinodontiformes; Goodeidae
Exons: 3
Source: RefSeq, a predicted model, not a curated record
CCAGAUAUCAGCAUAAAUGAUUCACAGAUGAACAGCUUUCUUCUCCUUCUAUUUAGUGUCACUUUGGCUUUGAUGCUGAUCGUUACAGCCAUGCUUGUCUGUUCAAUUAGGACAAAAUGCUGUAGAUUUUGCAAAGUCUCAGAGUUUGCAGGCAGAAAUGCUGAAGCAGUUUGUGGACCACAGCAAAACCAGCAGAGAAAUGAGGAUACCUUAGUUUAUUCUACAGCAGUUUUUACCCAGCAAAAAGCUGACAGAGCGGGCAGGGUUAAGACGAGAAGAAAGGAAGAGACCAUCUACAGUUAUGCCAGGGCCUUUGAUAAAGACUAACCUCAAAAAAUGCUGGAUUUCACACUUAAGGAUCCUUUUAGACUAUAUUUUUGCUUUGUAUGCCAUAAAUCCUUCACAGCCUCUUGCAUUUGACGUUAUACAUUAAUUUCCUAAAUAUUUUCACAAAA